Long non-coding RNA from Scatophagus argus, 423 nucleotides. RefSeq lists it as uncharacterized. The record is from RefSeq and is a predicted model, not a curated record. The transcript is spliced from 3 exons. NCBI's taxonomy places the organism in Eukaryota, Metazoa, Chordata, Actinopteri, Scatophagidae.
UCAAAUAGAAUAUAGCGACCGAACAGCCAAUCAAAAAUAGCCUUGCUGUAUCCGGGUCAGAUUUAGGUAUUCAUCCUACAACAACGUUAUCUCACUACUCUGAUGACCGACGUGGAAGAGGACGGUGUCCUAUGAGGACGAUGUCAGCGAAGGCAAAUGAGCAUUCUUUUAUGCUUCGCUCAGAAGAAUCAGCUCCCUAAAAAGGUGGCCAGGUUAGAGGAGGAGACAGCUAGGCCAGGAAGUCCGGGACAUCCCCUACGUGGACCCACUAAACCAACUGCCAGCAGCAAGAAGAAGGAUGCAACACGGCUGGACAGACUGGUGCGGAGUGCAGCAUCUGUGGUGGGCACAGAGCUGAACACUGUAGUGUCAGUAGCAGAAAACGGACCCUGGAUAAGAUCCUGUCCAUACUGGACAACGCCU